RNAcentral lists this ribosomal RNA (254 nucleotides) under uncultured bacterium. Its description in RNAcentral is "partial 16S ribosomal RNA". It matches the Rfam family "Bacterial small subunit ribosomal RNA", at positions 524 to 776 of the family's 1533-position model. The record is from RNAcentral.
UACGGGGGGAGCAAGCGUUGUUCGGAUUUACUGGGCGUAAAGGGCGCGUAGGCGGCCACCGCAAGUCAGUUGUGAAAGCUCUGGGCUUAACCCAGAAAGGUCAACUGAUACUGCGGGGCUAGAGUGCAGAAGGGGCAACUGGAAUUCCUGGUGUAGCGGUGAAAUGCGCAGAUAUCAGGAGGAACACCGGUGGCGAAGGCGGUUCUCUGGGCAUUACCUGACGCUGAGGAGCGAAAGCGUGGGGAGCAAACAGG